Molecule: ribosomal RNA, 445 nt
Filed under: uncultured bacterium
Lineage: Bacteria
Description: bacterial SSU rRNA
Rfam family: Bacterial small subunit ribosomal RNA
Source: RNAcentral
UGGCGUGCGUUAUACUUGCACGUCGAGCGAAUGGAUUAAGAGCUUGCUCUUGUGAAUUAGAGGCGGAGAGGGUGAGUAACACGUGGGUAACCUGCCCAUAAGAAUGGGAUAACUCCGGGAAACCGGGGCUAAUACCGGGUAAUAUUUUGAACCGCCUGGUUCGAAAUUGAAAGGCGGCUUCGGCUGUCACUUAUGGAUGGACCCGCGUCGCAUAGCUAGUUGGUGAGGUAACGGCUCACCAAGGCAACGAUGCGUAGCCGACCUGAGAGGGUGAUCGGCCACACUGGGACUGAGACACGGCCCAGACUCCUACGGGAGGCAGCAGUAGGGAAUCUUCCGCAAUGGACGAAAGUCUGACGGAGCAACGCCGCCUGAGUGAUGAAGGCUUUCGGGUCGUAAAACUCUGUUGUUAGGGAAGAACAAGUGCUAGUUGAAUAAGCUGGCA